This is a long non-coding RNA of Astatotilapia calliptera (eastern happy), 2074 nucleotides long. NCBI's taxonomy places the organism in Eukaryota, Metazoa, Chordata, Actinopteri, Cichliformes, Cichlidae. The record is from Ensembl.
AAUAAAAUAAAAAGUUCCAUUUCUUAAUGUGGUUUUAAUGCAAGCCUAAUUAUUAUUUUCUGAUUAAUCUGCUUCUAAAUUGUAAUCUGGUCUUCCAGUUUAAAUACAUCUAAUCACCCAGAGUCAGAAUUAAUGUUACACACACAAAGAUGCACAAAGUUGGGGUGGAGGGGUGGGGGGGCUAACACUGUUGUACAAACAGUCCGUGGGGGAGGGGUGGAUUUAAAUUCCAAAAGGGUCUCGCAGCUCGUUUCCUAGUUCCCCAGUCAGCAAUGUGUUUGUGAAAAAUCAGUCUUUUUGUCUUGCUGAAAAAAGGCUAAAUCUACAUUGGUGGCCCAGUCUAAGUUUACUAUUCUUUGCACUUUCAAUACAAGUGAAUGAGGGAGAAUGAAGUGGCCCGAGCCCCCUUAUUUGAUCUACUGGAUUGUAUAAAGUGACGGAAUUCUAAUGUAUUUGCUCAAUGCCCCGAAAUAGGCUGUUGCUUUUCUAUAGAGGAUGCAGAAACGUCACGUUAUUUUUUCAACACUAAAAAAAAAAACAAAAAAAACACACACACACAAAAGUUAAAAAAGCGUAUUUGGCAGCCUACGUAGGUAUCUCCCUCCGUCUGUAUUUACACAACCUGUUGGAUAAUGUCCCCUGAAAUAGAAAAAAAGCACAAGGUUGAAACGUUCAGAUGCUCUUUUUAUAGGAACGAGGGGGGAAAAAAUGAACAUGGCGCUUAUUUAAUUACCCUCUGUGACGUCUGAAGUCGAAAUUAUGUAACACUUAAUUUAGACACUGUUUGCAGCUUUUCUAAAUGUUUAUUGUCGGGCCUAAUCGUGUUUAGCUCAGCUUGAUGAAUGAGCCUGGUUGUCUGCGCUGUGGCCAGGGCAUCGCAGCUCCAUGCAUCCUAAUCGGCUGCACGAUUCAUUUCUCUGCCCACAGCCUCCACUGCCUUUCUCACAUUCAUAAAAUUCGUAAAAUCAUCCAGUUCUGGAUAAAGAUUAUUAUUAUUAUAAUUAUUAUUAUUAGACGGAAAUGUAAAACAAAUCCCCAAAGUUACAUUUACACGAUCAAAAAAGCUGCCAUUUGUAAUGAUAAUAAUAAUAAUAAUAAUAAUAAUAAUAAUAAUAAUAAUAAUAAUAAUAAUAAUAAUAAUUCGUAUCGUCUUAGAUAAAAUCUUCAGAAUCAUUUUGAUUGUUUACUUCACUUUUAAUGAGAAAAUAUUUCGAUGACCAUUUUUUUCCAAUUCAUUGCAGACUGUUGGCACACUUUUCGAAAGCACGCAUGCUUGCAAAAAAAAUUUAAAAAAUUUAAAAAAUAAUAAUAAUAAAAAACAAUUAAAACAACAACAAUACCCACGUCAUCAUCAUCAACAACAACAACAACAACAACAGCAACAACACAAAUUUUAAAAUGCAUGCUUUACCUAAAAAAAAAAGUACAAAUUUACAGCAUCCGAUACACAUGGUCACCACAGCCUUUUAAAUUAAAUGCUUCACAGAACAUUUUCUGGAAAAUAGAUAUCUAAAACAUAAAACUAAAAAGUGCAUUUUACAACAUUUUUAGUAUCAGUUAUUUUCAAUAUUCACAUCUUGCAUUUUGAGGACUUCUCAAAAUUCUACUUUUCAAUAUUGAAAAGAAUUUCGUAACUCGGUUUGCUUUCUUUUUUUCUUACAGGGAUGGUAAGAAGAAAUCUAAACCCUAUUCCUAUUUGGUAUACCCUUAACCAUCAUUCCAGUAUUUUUUUUUCUUUUUAUAAAAAAAGCAAACAAAAAGUCAUUGCCUCGCAAUUUCAUUGACAUUACAGUGGUCACACAGAAACGGUGCAAAAGUUUUGCCAGUUGAUGGAAUUGAGAAACUGCAACGGGGGGAUUUGGAAGCCACCUUCAAAUAAGAGUUGAUACUGCCAAAACAAACUCCCCCCCACCUCCCCACAGCCCUCCAAUUGGAUCCCCUCAGUGGCUCCACUUUCAACACUCGCAUUUUAAAAUAAACUGAAAAAUAGAACUAUCAAAUAAUUUAUGAUUUCAAGAGCAAUACUGUACGAUUCUGUGCUGGACUUGACACAAUUUAAAGCGACACAUUCAAC